Molecule: ribosomal RNA, 394 nt
Filed under: Heteragrion sp. MOLC-2015
Lineage: Eukaryota; Metazoa; Arthropoda; Insecta; Odonata; Megapodagrionidae
Description: partial 16S ribosomal RNA
Rfam family: Archaeal large subunit ribosomal RNA
Source: RNAcentral
UUAAACGGCCGCGGUAUUUUGACCGUGCAAAGGUAGCAUAAUCAUUAGUCUUUUAAUAGGAGGCUGGAAUGAAUGGCUCGACGAAAUACCAACUGUCUCGUUAUAAUAUAUUAUAAUUUAUUUUUUAAGUUAAAAAACUUAAAUUUAAUUGGAAGACGAGAAGACCCUAUAGAGCUUUAUUUUUAAAUUCUAAUAUUUUUAUUUGUUUAUUAUUUUUUGUUGGGUUUUAUUAGUUUUGUUGGGGUGAUAAGAAAUAUCUAUUUAACUUUUUUAUUUAUUAAACAUUCAUUUAUGACGUUUUAGAUCCAUUAUUAUUGAUUGUUAGACUAAGUUACCUUAGGGAUAACAGCGUAAUCCUUUUUGGGAGUUCAAAUCUACAAGGGGGCUUGCGACC